RNAcentral lists this unclassified non-coding RNA (305 nucleotides) under Hevea brasiliensis (rubber tree). Lineage: Eukaryota; Viridiplantae; Streptophyta; Magnoliopsida; Malpighiales; Euphorbiaceae. The record is from RNAcentral.
AAACUUUCAGAUGUGACACCUAUGCAGCUUAAUCUCCUUGAGCAAUUUUGUGCACUGCCCUUUUCCCUUCCACCGCAUGCAUUCAAUCAAUAAUUUCACAUCCAAUCAUCAAAAAGCACUUCCACAAGCUCAAAAACCAGUGCAAUCUAAAAUGUCGGUAUAAAAAUUAGGCAAAACCCAUUUUUGGAUUCAAUAGAUAAACUCGAGAGCUCUAGGGCUCAAAAAUGAGUUUUUCCUAAAAUUUAUCUUCAACUUUUAAUGUGAACAAUUCUUUUACUCCCUUUUGACAACUUCCUCUAGAUUUG